RNAcentral lists this ribosomal RNA (316 nucleotides) under uncultured Lachnospiraceae bacterium. RNAcentral's name for it is "bacterial SSU rRNA". It matches the Rfam family "Bacterial small subunit ribosomal RNA", at positions 355 to 688 of the family's 1533-position model. The record is from RNAcentral. Lineage: Bacteria; Bacillati; Bacillota; Clostridia; Lachnospirales; Lachnospiraceae.
UGGGGAAUAUUGCACAAUGGAGGAAACUCUGAUGCAGCGACGCCGCGUGAGUGAAGAAGUAAUUCGUUAUGUAAAGCUCUAUCAGCAGGGAAGAUAGUGACGGUACCUGACUAAGAAGCUCCGGCUAAAUACGUGCCAGCAGCCGCGGUAAUACGUAUGGAGCAAGCGUUAUCCGGAUUUACUGGGUGUAAAGGGAGUGUAGGUGGCCAUGCAAGUCAGAAGUGAAAAUCCGGGGCUCAACCCCGGAACUGCUUUUGAAACUGUAAGGCUGGAGUGCAGGAGGGGUGAGUGGAAUUCCUAGUGUAGCGGUGAAAUG